This 390-nucleotide ribosomal RNA is filed under the name uncultured soil bacterium. Its description in RNAcentral is "bacterial SSU rRNA". It matches the Rfam family "Bacterial small subunit ribosomal RNA", at positions 26 to 442 of the family's 1533-position model. The record is from RNAcentral.
AGAGCGAACGCUGGCGGCAGGCCUAACACAUGCAAGUCGAACGGACCCUUCGGGGUUAGUGGCGGACGGGUGAGUAACACGUGGGAACGUGCCUUUUGGUUCGGAAUAGCUCCUGGAAACGGGUGGUAAUGCCGAAUGUGCCCUUCGGGGGAAAGAUUUAUCGCCAUUAGAGCGGCCCGCGUCUGAUUAGCUAGUUGGUGAGGUAAUGGCUCACCAAGGCGACGAUCAGUAGCUGGUCUGAGAGGAUGACCAGCCACAUUGGGACUGAGACACGGCCCAAACUCCUACGGGAGGCAGCAGUGGGGAAUCUUGCGCAAUGGGCGAAAGCCUGACGCAGCCAUGCCGCGUGAAUGAUGAAGGUUCUUAGGAUUAGUAAAAUUCUUUACGACC